Molecule: ribosomal RNA, 250 nt
Filed under: uncultured Flavobacteriaceae bacterium
Lineage: Bacteria; Pseudomonadati; Bacteroidota; Flavobacteriia; Flavobacteriales; Flavobacteriaceae
Description: partial 16S ribosomal RNA
Rfam family: Bacterial small subunit ribosomal RNA
Source: RNAcentral
UACGGAGGAUCCGAGCGUUAUCCGGAAUCAUUGGGUUUAAAGGGUCCGUAGGCGGGUUUAUAAGUCAGUGGUGAAAGUUUGCGGCUUAACCGUAAAAUUGCCAUUGAUACUGUAGAUCUUGAAUUAGUGUGAAGUGGUUAGAAUGUGUAGUGUAGCGGUGAAAUGCAUAGAUAUUACACAGAAUACCAAUUGCGAAGGCAGAUCACUAACACUAUAUUGACGCUGAGGGACGAAAGCGUGGGGAGCGAAC